UACGUAGGGUGCGAGCGUUAAUCGGAGUUACUGGGCGUAAAGGGCGCGUAGGUGGUUGUUUAAGUGAGAUGUGAAAGCCCUGGGCUUAACCUAGGAACUGCAUCUUAUACUGGGCAACUGGAGUACUGGUAGAGGGUAGUGGAAUUUCCGGUGUAGCGGUGAAAUUCGUAGAUAUCGGGAGGAACACCUGUGGCGAAGGCGGCCACCUGGACGACAACUGACGCUGAGACGCGAAAGCGUGGGUAGCAAACAGG
RNAcentral lists this ribosomal RNA (254 nucleotides) under uncultured bacterium. RNAcentral describes it as "partial 16S ribosomal RNA". It matches the Rfam family "Bacterial small subunit ribosomal RNA", at positions 524 to 776 of the family's 1533-position model. The record is from RNAcentral.